Molecule: ribosomal RNA, 254 nt
Filed under: uncultured bacterium
Lineage: Bacteria
Description: partial 16S ribosomal RNA
Rfam family: Bacterial small subunit ribosomal RNA
Source: RNAcentral
UACGAAGGGGGCUAGCGUUGUUCGGAAUCACUGGGCGUAAAGCGCACGCAGGCGGAUUGUUAAGUCAGGGGUGAAAUCCCGAGGCUCAACCUCGGAACUGCCUUUGAUACUGGCAAUCUUUGAGUCCGGGAGAGGUGAGUGGAACUCCGAGUGUAGAGGUGAAAUUCGUAGAUAUUCGGAAGAACACCAGUGGCGAAGGCGGCUCACUGGCCCGGUACUGACGCUCAGGUGCGAAAGCGUGGGGAGCAAACAGG